This is a non-coding RNA of Trichonephila clavata, 73 nucleotides long. Lineage: Eukaryota; Metazoa; Arthropoda; Arachnida; Araneae; Nephilidae. The record is from the annotation of a GenBank genome assembly.
GUCCCUGUAGCGCAAUGGAUAGCGCGUUGGACUUCUAAUCCAAAGUUUCUGGAUUUGAAUCCCAACUGGGAUG